CAGUAUGUGGUGUAGUGGUUUGAGCAUUGGACUAUGACUUUGGAGACCAGGGUUCAAAUCCCUGCACAGUUA
RNAcentral lists this transfer RNA (72 nucleotides) under Phrynosoma platyrhinos (Desert horned lizard). RNAcentral describes it as "tRNA-OTHER". Lineage: Eukaryota; Metazoa; Chordata; Lepidosauria; Squamata; Phrynosomatidae. The record is from RNAcentral.